Long non-coding RNA from Papaver somniferum (opium poppy), 607 nucleotides. RefSeq lists it as uncharacterized. The record is from RefSeq and is a predicted model, not a curated record. The transcript has 5 exons. Lineage: Eukaryota; Viridiplantae; Streptophyta; Magnoliopsida; Ranunculales; Papaveraceae.
GUUCUAUUUUUUUAUAAAUCUUACAAACCGGAAGAGUAAAAGCUCCUCAUCAAGGAACAAAAUCAUUUGAUCUUAACUCCCCAUCCAUGAACUGAUAAGAUCAAAGAAAAUCCCUAGAACCACCAGUAAACCAAAUCGUUCUACUCAUGUAGCAGAUAUGUAUUCAAGGUCUUCUUCUUCUUUGAAGUGUUUUGUAGUGAGCAACAUAUUUCAAUGGGUCGGGUAGUGAUGAGAAUAGAGUUGAUAUUAUUAAUUCUAAGUUGGGUCAUUCUCAGGUACCAUGAAAAGAAACUGAAAGUGUUUUUUUUUCUUUUGAGGAGCCGCGGUUGGAUCAAUUUCAUGAUUUGUUCUAUUUGAUUCAUAUUUAUGGGUUGAUGUUCUUGCUAGCCUUGUAUGUUGAAGACUAGUUAGAGAAAGAGUUGGCCCAGCCAUACUUUAUCACUCUUACAUGGUGCAGAUGAAACAGGACAUGCUGCUGCACCAUAGGUGUUACUAAGUUGUUUAUCUUUGAAACCUAUUCCGGUGGUGAAAUUGUUUGAUGGAAGAGGAGAUGUUGAAGAUCAGAACUCUGAUGAUUAUCCACUGGUUUUUAUUUAGAUCCCUAGCU